RNAcentral lists this ribosomal RNA (371 nucleotides) under uncultured bacterium. Its description in RNAcentral is "bacterial SSU rRNA". It matches the Rfam family "Bacterial small subunit ribosomal RNA", at positions 527 to 896 of the family's 1533-position model. The record is from RNAcentral.
AGAGACCCCAAGCGUUAUCCGGAUUUAUUGGGCGUAAAGCGUGUGUAGGCGGCAAUGAUAGUCAGAUGUUAAAUUCCAGCGCUCAACGUUGGAGCUGCAUCUGAAACGUCAUAGCUAGAGACAAGUAGAGGUUCAUGGAACAUAUGGUGUAGCAGUGAAAUGCGUUGAUAUCAUAUGGAACGCCAAAGGCGAAGGCAGUGAACUGGGCUUUGUCUGACGCUGAGACACGAAAGCGUGGGUAGCGAACGGGAUUAGAUACCCCGGUAGUCCACGCCGUAAACGUUGCCUACUAGGUCUGGGGAGUAUCGACCCUCUCCGGACCGAAGCUAACGCGUUAAGUAGGCCGCCUGGGAAGUACGAGCGCAAGCUUA